GGCCUUAUAACUGUUAUCGCCAUCUCGAAAAACGUGUGCGGGUUUUUUUUUUUUUUUUUUUUGCUCCCAGCCUGCCCAGAUUUCAGGAAGGAAAGAAGAUCUUUUGCUUCUUCGGUCGCUGGGUCGGCUCUCCAGUGUCUGAUGUUUACUGAAAUCUUGAUCGUGGUUAGCCUCCCCCAGGACUUCAUUGUUUGGAAGAUGCCUUCGCCAAGCAAUCUGAGCUCCAGGCCGGGAAGCCCCAAGGUCACAAAUUUUAAUGGAGCCCUGAAACUAAACAGAAAUCAUCCCUCCCACUAGAACAAGAGCCCCUAGAGGCCAGCGACACCGCUAAAAUAACAUGUGUAGACCAAUGCCGUCCAGGUAACAGUGCCUGGCAAACACGGUAGAGGUUCAAUAAAUACAUUUUAACUCAA
Long non-coding RNA from Homo sapiens (human), 413 nucleotides. Ensembl annotates it as HLA complex group 14. Its record names the gene HCG14. Lineage: Eukaryota; Metazoa; Chordata; Mammalia; Primates; Hominidae. The record is from Ensembl.